GUGCCUACGGGACGCAGCAGUGGGGAAUAUUGGACAAUGGGGGAAACCCUGAUGCAGCAACGCCGCGUGAGUGAAGAAGUAUUUCGGUAUGUAAAGCUCUAUCAGCAGGGAAGAAGAUGACGGUACCUGACCAAGAAGCCCCGGCUAACUACGUGCCAGCAGCCGCGGUAAUACGUAAGGGGCAAGCGUUAUCCGGAUUUACUGGGUGUAAAGGGAGCGCAGACGGCAGUGCAAGUCUGGAGUGAAAGCCCGGGGCCCAACCCCGGAACUGCUCUGGACACUGUGCGGCUAGAGUACUGGAGGGG
This 305-nucleotide ribosomal RNA is filed under the name uncultured bacterium. Its description in RNAcentral is "bacterial SSU rRNA". It matches the Rfam family "Bacterial small subunit ribosomal RNA", at positions 335 to 657 of the family's 1533-position model. The record is from RNAcentral.